AGGGCGCUAGUGAGCCCAGAGAGUGUGACACCGCGGCUAAAGAAUAACAGAGUUAGCAAGUCAAGACCAAUUUUUCUUCAAUAUUGUUUAGUAUGAUUUUCUCAAUGGAGGAAUAUAUAUCUAAACUCAGGAAUUUGUGGAGACAUGUCACUUGUCUCUUCAGUAAAACAGACUUUUAGAACCGAAGAAAUUCAAAUAAAACUUCUACAAAUGUGUAUUUUCCAGAAGGAGCAGCACAUAGACUUCAUUUACAAGUGGAGUCACUGCAGACAGAGAUUAGCUCAAGGAACUGGUGAGGGUGUGCAAGAUUUCUGGCAGGGACUUGUGACGUACCUGCAACCCAUCUAUACUCUCACUGACUGUCUUUUUUGCCAGCCUUUAUCUACCAGCUAACCACAGGGGUGUCCAAAUCCAGGCCUUAAGGGCCGGUGUCCUACGAGUUUUCCAACCAACCUGCCAUUGAAGUUCCUUAUUGGCCAAACACACCUGGUAACCAACAACAGAUAAGGAAGGAUUUCUGGAGAACUAGCAGGAGGCCGGCCCUUGAGGCCUGGAUUUGGACACCCCUGCGUUUGUGGUGUUGAGCCCACAUAUGUUUUAAGACCUAUUUUAGCCUUAACUUGUUUAUUCAUCUUUUUUUUUCCUUUUUAUCUCCUUGACCUAUACUCCUGGAUAACCUUCAGCUUCUGGACAACACCAGUACCAUGUACACCCCAUAUUUUAUUUAACACAGGAUAUUUUGCAAUGUAUCUGUUAAUUAUUUGUGACUCUCUCUAAGUUGGUAAGAUGCUGUAGAUAUCUCAUGCUCUUGUACUUAAGACUUGUUUUUUGAACAUUUGAAUGGGUUUUGAUAGAGCAUCGUUAUUCUGAUCAUUGUCGGAACAACUACUACUACCACUACUACUACUACUCUUGUGGGUUUAAUCUCAAGCAUACAU
Molecule: long non-coding RNA, 938 nt
Organism: Oryzias melastigma (Indian medaka)
Lineage: Eukaryota; Metazoa; Chordata; Actinopteri; Beloniformes; Adrianichthyidae
Exons: 3
Source: RefSeq, a predicted model, not a curated record